RNAcentral lists this long non-coding RNA (481 nucleotides) under Polistes fuscatus (common paper wasp). RNAcentral describes it as "uncharacterized LOC122514088". Lineage: Eukaryota; Metazoa; Arthropoda; Insecta; Hymenoptera; Vespidae. The record is from RNAcentral.
CUCUUCCUCCUCCUCCUCCUCCACCUUCUCCACCUCCCUAAUUACUACUACUACAACUAUAUUUUCCAUGAACUAAUUUUUCUCCGUCACAAUGAAUAUCCUUAAGAUCGACUAUUCCUCGUGUAACAAUCUCCUCGAAGGACCAACAUCUCUUCCUCCUCGUCCUCGAGGAUCCCGUUGGCGGCCGCGUUAUUCUUCUUCGGUUUUGAAAGAAGGAUGAGCGAGAGAGACGGCGCGUUUCGCGACGACGACGCUCGACGGUCGAUGUCGCCGUGCUGCUGCCGUCGUUAUUCCUGCUACUGCCGUUGCUGCCGUUGCUGCCGUUGUUGCUGCUCUUGGUAUGACACGCUGCGGAACUUUUCCUUGCCAGAGGGACCGUAGAGAGAGAGAGAACGAGUAAGACUGAUGAGAUAAAGAGAGGAGGAGUUUUAAGCGGAUAUAGAUGAGAUACAGAACGAGAGAAAAAGAGAGAGAAGAAAAA